Molecule: ribosomal RNA, 65 nt
Filed under: Vinciguerria nimbaria (oceanic lightfish)
Lineage: Eukaryota; Metazoa; Chordata; Actinopteri; Stomiiformes; Phosichthyidae
Description: partial 16S ribosomal RNA
Source: RNAcentral
ACUGACAAGCUAGCCGCCCCACCACUUCACCCCACCCCCACCCGUUACAAAACCCAUACACCCUA